Molecule: long non-coding RNA, 282 nt
Filed under: Nicotiana benthamiana
Lineage: Eukaryota; Viridiplantae; Streptophyta; Magnoliopsida; Solanales; Solanaceae
Description: long non-coding RNA (NBEN_LNC006726)
Source: RNAcentral
GCACUAUAGGGGAAUACGCAAAAAGAGGCAUACUAGAUAGGAACAGAGUAAACCUCACACGGAAUGCUAGGUAAAAUACGUAAAAGGUGUACAAAGUAAACAAGAGAGCGGGAGGUACCAACUCCCGGUGGAAAAACCUGAAAGUAGGCUUUGAUGAAACUAGAUCGCAACAGAGUAAACCUCACACGGAAUGCUAGGUAAAAUACGUAAAAGGUGUACAAAGUAAACAAGAGAGCGGGAGGUACCAACUCCCGGUGGAAAAACCAGAAAGUAGGCUUUGAU